GACGAACGCUGGCGGCGUGCCUAAUACAUGCAAGUCGAGCGGACAGACGGGAGCUUGCUCCCUGAUGUUAGCGGCGGACGGGUGAGUAACACGUGGGUAACCUGCCUGUAAGACUGGGAUAACUCCGGGAAACCGGGGCUAAUACCGGAUGGUUGUCUGAACCGCAUGGUUCAGACAUAAAAGGUGGCUUCGGCUACCACUUACAGAUGGACCCGCGGCGCAUUAGCUAGUUGGUGAGGUAACGGCUCACCAAGGCAACGAUGCGUAGCCGACCUGAGAGGGUGAUCGGCCACACUGGGACUGAGACACGGCCCAGACUCCUACGGGAGGCAGCAGUAGGGAAUCUUCCGCAAUGGACGAAAGUCUGACGGAGCAACGCCGCGUGAGUGAUGAAGGGUUUCGGAUCGUAAAGCUCUGUUGUUAGGGAAGAACAAGUGCCGUUCAAAUAGGGCGGCACCUUGACGGUACCUAACCAGAAAGCCACGGCUAACUACGUG
This 497-nucleotide ribosomal RNA is filed under the name uncultured bacterium. RNAcentral describes it as "partial 16S ribosomal RNA". It matches the Rfam family "Bacterial small subunit ribosomal RNA", at positions 28 to 507 of the family's 1533-position model. The record is from RNAcentral.